This is a non-coding RNA of Vicia faba (fava bean), 216 nucleotides long. Lineage: Eukaryota; Viridiplantae; Streptophyta; Magnoliopsida; Fabales; Fabaceae. The record is from the annotation of a GenBank genome assembly.
AUGAUAAAUAUAGAAGAAAUAGGCGGUUUGAAGCUUACCGGCCGGAGCAGCCCCGACAGAUCUCCGACUAUGACGACGGUGGAAGAACGGAAACAAAUAUUCUCCGUGAAUUUAGAAAGUAGAGAGAAUAUGUUAAUUUGUUGUGGUGCGUGCGUUGUGAUGUUGUUGAUGUGCUUCAUUGAUCUGAGUGGAAAGAGUUUGAGCUUUGUAGCGUAG